Molecule: ribosomal RNA, 669 nt
Filed under: Nostoc sp. VP
Lineage: Bacteria; Bacillati; Cyanobacteriota; Cyanophyceae; Nostocales; Nostocaceae
Description: bacterial SSU rRNA
Rfam family: Bacterial small subunit ribosomal RNA
Source: RNAcentral
GGAUGAACGCUGGCGGUAUGCUUAACACAUGCAAGUCGAACGAAAUCUUUCGGGAUUUAGUGGCGGACGGGUGAGUAACGCGUGAGAAUCUGCCUUCAGGUCUGGGACAACCACUGGAAACGGUGGCUAAUACCGGAUGUGCCGAAAGGUGAAAGGUUAACUGCCUGAAGAUGAGCUCGCGUCUGAUUAGCUAGUAGGUAGUGUAAAGGACUACCUAGGCGACGAUCAGUAGCUGGUCUGAGAGGACGAUCAGCCACACUGGGACUGAGACACGGCCCAGACUCCUACGGGAGGCAGCAGUGGGGAAUUUUCCGCAAUGGGCGAAAGCCUGACGGAGCAAUACCGCGUGAGGGAGGAAGGCUCUUGGGUCGUAAACCUCUUUUCUCAGGGAAGAACACAAUGACGGUACCUGAGGAAUAGCAUCGGCUAACUCCGUGCCAGCAGCCGCGGUAAUACGGAGGAUGCAAGCGUUAUCCGGAAUGAUUGGGCGUAAAGCGUCCGCAGGUGGCUAUGUAAGUCUGCUGUUAAAGAGUCUAGCUCAACUAGAUAAGAGCAGUGGAAACUACAUGGCUAGAGUGCGUUCGGGGCAGAGGGAAUUCCUGGUGUAGCGGUGAAAUGCGUAGAGAUCAGGAAGAACACCGGUGGCGAAGGCGCUCUGCUAGGCCGCAA